RNAcentral lists this ribosomal RNA (901 nucleotides) under uncultured bacterium. RNAcentral describes it as "bacterial SSU rRNA". It matches the Rfam family "Bacterial small subunit ribosomal RNA", at positions 78 to 976 of the family's 1533-position model. The record is from RNAcentral.
GCUUGCUUCAAUUGCCGGCGACCGGCGCACGGGUGAGUAACGCGUAUCCAACCUUCCGUACACUCAGGGAUAGCCUUUCGAAAGAAAGAUUAAUACCUGAUGGUAUGAUGAGAUCGCAUGAUAGCAUCAUUAAAGAUUUAUCGGUGUACGAUGGGGAUGCGUUCCAUUAGGUAGUAGGCGGGGUAACGGCCCACCUAGCCAACGAUGGAUAGGGGUUCUGAGAGGAAGGUCCCCCACAUUGGAACUGAGACACGGUCCAAACUCCUACGGGAGGCAGCAGUGAGGAAUAUUGGUCAAUGGACGAGAGUCUGAACCAGCCAAGUAGCGUGAAGGAUGAAGGUCUUACGGAUUGUAAACUUCUUUUAUAAGGGAAUAAAACCUCCCACGUGUGGGAGCUUGUAUGUACCUUAUGAAUAAGCAUCGGCUAACUCCGUGCCAGCAGCCGCGGUAAUACGGAGGAUGCGAGCGUUAUCCGGAUUUAUUGGGUUUAAAGGGAGCGCAGACGGGUCGUUAAGUCAGCUGUGAAAGUUUGGGGCUCAACCUUAAAAUUGCAGUUGAUACUGGCGUCCUUGAGUGCGGUUGAGGUGUGCGGAAUUCGUGGUGUAGCGGUGAAAUGCUUAGAUAUCACGAAGAACUCCGAUUGCGAAGGCAGCACACUAAGCCGUAACUGACGUUCAUGCUCGAAAGUGUGGGUAUCAAACAGGAUUAGAUACCCUGGUAGUCCACACGGUAAACGAUGGAUACUCGCUGUUGGCGAUAUACGGUCAGCGGCUUAGCGAAAGCGUUAAGUAUCCCACCUGGGGAGUACGCCGGCAACGGUGAAACUCAAAGGAAUUGACGGGGGCCCGCACAAGCGGAGGAACAUGUGGUUUAAUUCGAUGAUACGCGAGGAACCUUACCC